This 234-nucleotide ribosomal RNA is filed under the name uncultured bacterium. RNAcentral's name for it is "partial 16S ribosomal RNA". It matches the Rfam family "Bacterial small subunit ribosomal RNA", at positions 128 to 353 of the family's 1533-position model. The record is from RNAcentral.
GCCCAUGUGCCCGGGAUAACUUACUGGAAACGGAUGCUAAAACCGGAUAGGUAGCAGACAAGCAUUUGACUGCUAUUAAAGUGGCUAAGGCCAUGAACAUGGAUGGACCUGCGGUGCAUUAGCUAGUUGGUGAGGUAACGGCCCACCAAGGCGACGAUGCAUAGCCGGCCUGAGAGGGCGGACGGCCACAUUGGGACUGAGACACGGCCCAAACUCCUACGGGGAGGCAGCAUG